AGGGGAAUUUUGGACAAUGGGCGCAAGCCUGAUCCAGCCAUGCCGCGUGUCUGAAGAAGGCCUUCGGGUUGUAAAGGACUUUUGUCAGGGAAGAAAAGGGCGGGGUUAAUACCCCUGUCUGAUGACGGUACCUGAAGAAUAAGCACCGGCUAACUACGUGCCAGCAGCCGCGGUAAUACGUAGGGUGCGAGCGUUAAUCGGAAUUACUGGGCGUAAAGCGGGCGCAGACGGUUACUUAAGCAGGAUGUGAAAUCCCCGGGCUCAACCUGGGAACUGCGUUCUGAACUGGGUGACUAGAGUGUGUCAGAGGGAGGUAGAAUUCCACGUGUAGCAGUGAAAUGCGUAGAGAUGUGGAGGAAUACCGAUGGCGAAGGCAGCCUCCUGGGAUAACACUGACGUUCAUGCCCGAAAGCGUGGGUAGCAAACA
RNAcentral lists this ribosomal RNA (427 nucleotides) under uncultured bacterium. Its description in RNAcentral is "partial 16S ribosomal RNA". It matches the Rfam family "Bacterial small subunit ribosomal RNA", at positions 355 to 774 of the family's 1533-position model. The record is from RNAcentral.